CGGAGGAUCCGAGCGUUAUCCGGAUUUAUUGGGUUUAAAGGGUGCGUAGGCGGCCUGUUAAGUCAGGGGUGAAAGACGGUAGCUCAACUAUCGCAGUGCCCUUGAUACUGAUGGGCUUGAAUGUACUAGAGGUAGGCGGAAUGUGACAAGUAGCGGUGAAAUGCAUAGAUAUGCCACAGAACACCAAUUGCGAAGGCAGCUUACUAUGGUAUUAUUGACGCUGAGGCACGAAAGCGUGGGGAUCAAACAGGAUUAGAUACCCUGGUAGUCCACGCCCUAAACGAUGAAUACUCGAUGUUAGCGAUAUACAGUUAGCGUCAAAGCGAAAGCGUUAAGUAUUCCACCUGGGGAGUACGCCCGCAAGGGUG
RNAcentral lists this ribosomal RNA (368 nucleotides) under uncultured organism. RNAcentral describes it as "bacterial SSU rRNA". It matches the Rfam family "Bacterial small subunit ribosomal RNA", at positions 526 to 896 of the family's 1533-position model. The record is from RNAcentral.